RNAcentral lists this ribosomal RNA (208 nucleotides) under uncultured bacterium. Its description in RNAcentral is "partial 16S ribosomal RNA". It matches the Rfam family "Bacterial small subunit ribosomal RNA", at positions 568 to 774 of the family's 1533-position model. The record is from RNAcentral.
UGCGCAGGCGGUUUUGUAAGACAGAGGUGAAAUCCCCGGGCUCAACCUGGGAACUGCCUUUGUGACUGCAAGGCUGGAGUACGGCAGAGGGGGAUGGAAUUCCGCGUGUAGCAGUGAAAUGCGUAGAUAUGCGGAGGAACACCGAUGGCGAAGGCAAUCCCCCGGGCCCUGUACUGACGCUCAUGCACGAAAGCGUGGGGAGCAAACA